CAUAACUUUGAAAACUAAAAAGUAAAAUCACACCUUUUCAGGCUCAGCAACCAGCAUUGUAAGUUAUUCUAAUACAUGGAUUUGCACAGUCUCCACCGAUUGAAUAAGUAAGCCAUUAAGUUUUAAGCCAAAGUUUCAAACAGAGGCACAAGGUAUCCAUUUACAGACUAUAAAAGUGUUCAACAAAUGUCAUUUCCACUCUUUUAUAUUCCUUAGCACUUCAUUGCUUCUGUUUGUACCCUGCAGGAUGCACAGCCUUGAUGAAGACAAUAAAACCAACAAUGGAAUCAAUCCUUCUGUAAUCACAAUUUCUCAGUUUACUUAUCCAUAAGUUUCUUUCUACUUUCGACCUCAUCUCCCUUCCAUUCUCUCCUGCCUCCUAUUUAUUUGUUACCAAGACUAAGAAGCUGAUGAAUUUUCUUUCUAGGUUCUCCAAACAGCCUUAGGUUCUACUGACACAACCCUCCAGAUCCACAAGCUAGCCCAUUUGCCAGACAGGGAGACCAAGGUAGAGAGGAGCUAUAGUUUGGCCAGAAGACAGCCAACAAAGUGACCCUAGAGCUAGAAAUAGAAACCAGGACUUGGACCUUCCUGGGGCAAAAGAUGCUGUCCUGGCAUCUGGAGGAGGGACUUACUCAUAGCAGGGGUUUUCGAGGGCCUCUGGUGGGGAGAUAUACAUGUAUGGUGACACAGGCUUGUCCACAAAUGCCCCGAAGCCAAUCCGCAGGUUACUGGUGAGCUUUCGCAUCUGGGUGGCCAGCUUGGUACCCAGGUUCUGGAUGCUCCACAGAUCGUCCUUCAUGGAGUAAGACAGGUCCAUCAAGUAGUAGAUGUCCACAGGGUAAUCCUCCACCUGCCGCACUUGGAUGGAGAAAUUCUUCGAAUCAUCUGGAAGGCAGAAAGACGUUAGUUUUUAUCUUCUUCUCCUUCCAAGAUUGAAUAAGCAGAUUUGGAUACAGUUGGGACUAAGAAAUUGCAUGAUCAAAGCAAACCAGAAAGCCCCGGUCCCUUUUCCUCUUCCUUUGCAAUUCUAUUACUCUUCUAAUCUCUUGACCCGCCUAUUUUUAACAUCUUCUUUUCCAUUCUAAAAUUUUCCACUUUCUCUAAAUCCCCAGGGGAUUUCCAAUCCUGUGAGUUCCAAGGGUCUAUCACUGUGAGUCACAGAGGUUUUGAUAGUUACUACACUUCAGACUCUGUAAAAGACAGAAAUUGCACCCUACCCUUCUCUGAAUCCCAUUGCAUCCAACACAUGCCUUGAUAGUAGGUAAAUCCUUCUUGACUUAGUUGGAAAGUCAAAAUCAAUGCUUCAAAAUUUCUGUCUCUUAGCCUAACCUUUCCUCCCUCUAAAGGUCUUGUGUACCUAUUGUGCCUGCUGCCCCCAUUCCCCUGUCCCAAUCCCCUGUGAAAGGAGGGCUUACAAGUUGCUUUCUUAUUCUAUAUCUCGUUUGCACCUCAACACAAAGCUCGAAGCUAGGUAAAACAGGCACUUGGGUAAAGAAGAAACAAAUGUUUUUUGAGCACCUACUUUGUCAGAAGGGUUAAGUAACUUGUCCAAGGUCAAAUAGCUAAUAUAUGAUAAAGUCAAGAUUCAACUCAGAUCUUUUGACUCAAGUCCUAACGUCUCUUAUUUUCUUCUAUUCUCUUGCCUACACCUCCCCCCACAUCCUUGUCUUCCCACCCCAUUUCCAUUCUGAGCUACUUCCCCAAGACUUCCUCCUCAGACCUCCAACUUGUGCUCUAUGCCCACCUGUCUCAGGUCUCUCCUUGCAAAAGGUCCCAUCCCUACCUGGCCGGAGCCGGAGUGCAAUCCUCUGGGGACUGACUUGAGUGACCUGGGAGCUGUCUCCAGAGCCUUUGUCGCUGAGGGGCCUGUCCUCUAGUACUCGGGCCUCACUGACUGGGAACUCGAUGGAUUCCGGGGCACAGUUAUCCUUCAGCAGAUUCUCCUUCAGGUCACAGCGAGUCCGAUCCCCCUUUCAUGGGCUGAAGCCUUCCCCACGUGGAUGGGGACAUGAGCAACACCAACAGCAUAAGGACUACCCUGGCCCAGGCAAGAACUGCCCACAAAGCCCCAGGGAGAAAACCUUCCCAAAAAGGCAGUGGAGAAAUCAGAAUGCAGUGAGGAGCGGAUCCUUUCCAGGACCAAGAUAGAUGCUGAAAAAGACAGCAGGGAUGGGAGCCCAGCAAACGGGAUGAGAGCAGCAAGGCCAUCAUGCAUCUUCAGGCUCCAUCAGCAGAGCAAGAGAAUGCAUUAGACGGGAGUUUCCUGACUCCUAUUUUCUAAUGUGGCCGUCCUAAUGAGAAGAGGGUUUGAAGCGCUAAGAUGUGCUGACAGUCCUAAUGGUUUGUUAUGAGUUUCCUUAGAAAAAUUAAACACUGAAAAA
Molecule: non-coding RNA, 2384 nt
Organism: Macaca mulatta (Rhesus monkey)
Lineage: Eukaryota; Metazoa; Chordata; Mammalia; Primates; Cercopithecidae
Source: RefSeq, a predicted model, not a curated record